Long non-coding RNA from Telopea speciosissima, 534 nucleotides. RefSeq lists it as uncharacterized. The record is from RefSeq and is a predicted model, not a curated record. The transcript is spliced from 2 exons. NCBI's taxonomy places the organism in Eukaryota, Viridiplantae, Streptophyta, Magnoliopsida, Proteales, Proteaceae.
UUUCUCCAAAGAUUUUGUUCUUACUCUCACUCGUUUGCUUCAUGGUACUUUAUCAAGAUCUAUUGCUUUUCUCUCUGUCUCUGUCGCUUUUUGUCUUACACACUGUAUCUGCUCGUCUCACCAGAACUAGACCUAAAAAUCCUUUCUGGAAGCUCGCCCAUGUUUCAUGGAUCUGCAAGCUCACCGGCAUUGUUCUAUUAGAGCCAGGAUUUCAUGACCACACGCUUUUUCAGUAGCUCUGUGGUCGUUGGCGUCAUGCAAUCGUUCAGCUUGAAGGCUGAGGUGGAUGAAGGUUUGGGUCAAUGGAAUGGGUUUUACACGGACUUCUUGGGCUGUCUUGACUACCCGUUUGUCGCAUUUGAAUUUAAGCUCUGUGGGUUCCUCUGAUAUGAAUUCGAAUUUGGGAAAGGAAGAUGCUGUUACUGAUGAUGCUUCUGCUUCCUCUUUUCAAUUUGGUUUCCUCUGGUUCCGGGUAUCCACUACUACAUAUAAACUUGUCACCUUCCCUGCUGCCAAAUCAACCAGUGUUAAUGA